RNAcentral lists this ribosomal RNA (424 nucleotides) under uncultured prokaryote. RNAcentral describes it as "bacterial SSU rRNA". It matches the Rfam family "Bacterial small subunit ribosomal RNA", at positions 355 to 796 of the family's 1533-position model. The record is from RNAcentral.
UGGGGAAUCUUGCACAAUGGGCGAAAGCCUGAUGCAGCCAUGCCGCGUGAGUGAAGAAGGCCUUAGGGUUGUAAAACUCUUUCAGCGGGGAAGAUAAUGACGGUACCCGCAGAAGAAGCCCCGGCUAACUCCGUGCCAGCAGCCGCGGUAAUACGGAGGGGGCUAGCGUUGUUCGGAAUUACUGGGCGUAAAGCGCGCGUAGGCGGCCUGUUAAGUUGGGGGUGAAAGCCCGAAGCUCAACUUCGGAACUGCCCUCGAUACUGGCAGGCUUGAGUCCGAGAGAGGUGAGUGGAAUUCCCAGUGUAGAGGUGAAAUUCGUAGAUAUUGGGAAGAACACCAGUGGCGAAGGCGGCUCACUGGCUCGGUACUGACGCUGAGGUGCGAAAGCGUGGGGAGCAAACAGGAUUAGAUACCCCCGUAGUCC